GAGAAAGUCCAGAUGGAAUUGAAAAUAGAUGAGCUCUUGGCUGGGAUGGUAUUAUUGAUGGAUAAUUUGACAGCAUUUAUAAAUACAAUUCUUUGACCCACAAUUCAAACUCUAAGACAUUAUUCUAAAAGUGUUCCUGUACAACUAUGCAAGCUGAUGCUUUUCCAAGCCUUCUACAUCCCACAGCUGGUUAUUAGAAUGUGAUAAUCUUGGAGUCAAUAUAUGGAGGGGAUGCUGAAAAAAAUUCACAGGAGACCAACUCAGUCUACCAGCUAAAUCGGUUUGGAGGCACUGAAAUCUAAUAAAAAACACAUCUGAGUAUCCAAUCCUGGACCCACUGCCAGGAAGAGAAGAGACCUUGAACAGUGAUGGAGGCAGUGAAGGAACUUCGGUAUAAGAGAUUGCAUCCCAUUUCUUCACUGGUCCCACCAAGGUGACCAGCUGUGUGACAAAUCCUCUAGAAUCUGGAGCUGACCCCUGAGGGGUUUCUCUGAGCUGGACUGACAGUUGCUGUAUCACUGGCAAUGGUACGGAAAGUUUGCUGCUUUGCCUUUACUGUUCUCAUUUUAAAUCCGACCUGGAGAAGGUCACGCUGCCCCUUCGACCUUGACGUCUGCAGCACCGUUCUGCACACACUGCGAGGAGGAAGGAGACCACUUCUAAAAUGAGGGACAUUGACUGCCCGUCCAACCGGGUGCCGUUCCCGGAAGUGCAUGCCCAGCUCGCCCUCCGCCCAGCCACACCCCUCCCAGGAAGCUGGAGGAGCACAAGUGACCACAAUGGAGAGACUGAGGAUUAUCAUCCAGCACCACAUACCAACAGAAUAACGUGUGUCACUGACAUGUGAGUAGAACUGAAACGAAGCAGCCAGUUCGUUGGUCACUGAGAGGUGAGUCAUAAUACCAGGCAGAGUUGUGAAGACAAAGAAAUAGAAGACAAGUCCAUGAUCUCCUAGAGCUUCUCUCUUGGUUUAAGAGACAAGAAAAAGUUACUUGAACACAUAUGAUGAAUGCAAAUCAUGUAAAUGAAUCCUAAAACAUGGUGGGAGCAGUCCCACCAGGAAGUGCAGGAGUGGAGAGGCCCUGACAUCACAGGGGAGCCAUGGUGGGGGCUUCAUGAAGGAGCAAUCUGAGAGGCCUGAAGGCCAGCAAGCAGCCUGAGAAGGGCAUCGCAGCUGUUGGAAGAGAAAGGGCUGGCUGGACAGAGCUCAGCUCGUGCUUGAGGAGGGAGCAAGGAGUCAAGUGUGCUGAUGUCCUGAUUUGGAAAAUACUGAGAUGGUGAGAAACAAAGCUGGCCAGCUGGUGGGGCCACAGCAUGGAGGUCCUCAAAUACUCGGAUGCAGAGUUUGAACCGAUAUUCUUAUCUGUGCUGAAUUACGACUGGUCAAAGUGUACACUACAAAAUUCUUAAUGCUUCAGCAAUCUUUACUAACCACUUUUUUUCUUCUACUUGUAAAGCCAAAGAGGGACAAGAAAGGGCUAGAGGAAUGUCUCUAGAAUCAAAGUCAAGACCUCCAGAUUCUAGUACUACCUGUGUUGCUACUUAAUUAUAUGAACUUGUGCAAAUCUUGUUAUUCAUCUGUAGUUUAACUUUGCAUUUGCAACACGAGAUGGUAAAACCGAUACAUAACUCAGUAUUUCUUUAAAAAAAAAUGGAAACAAUAAAUGCACAAAACCCAAAAGUUAGCAUUUAGGGAUAUCAAGACUACUGUUGUCAUCACUGUGAUUCUGCAAGUUCUCCAGAAAAAUUCACGUUAGGACAUAUAGAUGCAGGGCUACCUUCAGCCAUCCAUCCAUUCAACUCUGCCCCAGGCGCCCAAACUGCACGCUUUGUGGAGCUUAUAUUCUAACGGGGAAGUAUAAUUGGUUGCUAGGGCUGCCAUAGCACUGCAGACUGGGUGGUUUAAAUAACAGAAUUUUAUUUUUUACAAUUCUGGAGGCCAGAAGUUUGAGAUCAAGGUGUCAGCAGGGUUGCUUCAUCUGAGGCCUCUCUCUUGGACUUGUAGAUGGCUGUCUUCCCCUUGUGUCUUCACAUGGUCCUCCCUCUAUGAGUGUAUGUCCAUGUGCUUAUGUGUGUGCUAAUCUCUUCAUAGAAGGACACCAGUCGUAUUGGAAGAGGGGCUACACAUAUGACCUCAUUUUACCCCAAUUCCCUCUCCAAAGGACCUAUCUCCAAACACAGUCACAGUCUGAGGUACUGGGUGUGAGAUCAUAUGAAUUUUUCAGGGACACAAAUUUGGCCCAUAACAGAGAGAUAAAUAAUAAACAAGUAAACAAAUAAGGAAUAAAUGGAAUAACAUGAAGCAGACUUGUGUGAGUGGAAUUGCUAUAGAGCGAAGAAUGCAAACACCACCUGGCUUUGAAAGACAGAGUGGACUGUCCCUGCAGGAGAGCAGCAAUGGAGGUGUCGCAAGAUGAGACAAGCUCUGUGUGUUUGAGACUGAGCAUGCACCAGUUGGAAGGCUUGGUUUGGGUCCCUGCAGCUUAGGGGCACAGUGCAAAAGUGUCUGAACCACUUCUAUCAAAAGGGCCCCUGGCUAGAGCUGCUGAGGGUGUCCAUGCCUCCAGGAGAGUCUGCCUCUGGGAAGUGGCCGGCUUAGAUGGUGUCCUCAGACAGACUGGGGGUGCCUCCCAUCCAUUCCCAAGAGGAGCUCAGCACGGCAGGGCUGAAAGAAGGAAGGGCAUGGCUGCAGGGGAGAAUCCACAAGGAUUUUGAGCAAGAGAACGACAAUGAAAGUCAAAGCUUUCCCGUAAGAAAAUUAAUCUAAUUUUAAUAUCAGAGAUGGAGAGGAGGUGGAUAGGAUCAGCCUCAGAGCCAUCCAAUCAUUAGUUGUUUUUAUAACAAGCAAUUACUGAGCACUGAUUUGUUCUGAGGGCUAAAUAGGAACAGCAAUGUUGGGAAUUGUAUUAGUUUCUCAGGAUGUCAUGAAAAAGUAGUAGACACUGGGUGGCUUAAAAUAACAAAAGUGGAUUCUCUCCUAGUCCUGAUGGCCAGAAGGCUGAUAUCAAGGUGUCGGCAGGACCACACUCCCCCUAGAACCUCUAGGGAAAGAUCGUUCCUUGCAUCUGCCAGCUCUGUGGCUCCAAGCACUCCUUGGUUUGCAGCAGCAUAACUUCCAUGUCUACCUCUGUUUUCAUGAUUGUCUUUCCCCUGGGUCUCUUCUGCUCUUCGUAUAAGAGCUAUCAAGUGGGCUUCAUCCCUGGGAUGCAAGGCUGGUCCAACAUACGCA
RNAcentral lists this long non-coding RNA (3229 nucleotides) under Homo sapiens (human). Its description in RNAcentral is "HSALNT0206382". The record is from RNAcentral. Lineage: Eukaryota; Metazoa; Chordata; Mammalia; Primates; Hominidae.